ACAAUUGCCAUGCUCCGAGCUUUUUUCACUAAGUUCCCGGCUAAAGGGGAUAAGUGAUUCAAGCCAGUGACAAGUUGUCACCAGGGUCGAUAAAGAAAUGCAUCGGCCUCCCGUACUUGGAAAGGUGUUCCGUGGCGAAACAA
Molecule: non-coding RNA, 143 nt
Filed under: Photobacterium gaetbulicola Gung47
Lineage: Bacteria; Pseudomonadati; Pseudomonadota; Gammaproteobacteria; Vibrionales; Vibrionaceae
Also listed under: 1 other name
Description: Photobacterium sp. Gung47 Molybdenum/Tungsten riboswitch aptamer (Moco RNA motif)
Rfam family: Molybdenum/Tungsten riboswitch aptamer (Moco RNA motif)
Source: Rfam by way of RNAcentral